UACGUAGGGUGCAAGCGUUAAUCGGAAUUACUGGGCGUAAAGCGUGCGCAGGCGGUGAUGUAAGACAGAUGUGAAAUCCCCGGGCUCAACCUGGGAACUGCAUUUGUGACUGCAUCGCUGGAGUGCGGCAGAGGGGGGUGGAAUUCCGCGUGUAGCAGUGAAAUGCGUAGAGAUGCGGAGGAACACCGAUGGCGAAGGCAGCCCCCUGGGCUAGCACUGACGCUCAGGCACGAAAGCGUGGGGAGCAAACAGG
This 253-nucleotide ribosomal RNA is filed under the name uncultured bacterium. Its description in RNAcentral is "partial 16S ribosomal RNA". It matches the Rfam family "Bacterial small subunit ribosomal RNA", at positions 524 to 776 of the family's 1533-position model. The record is from RNAcentral.